UUACCUAUUGAUUACAAUUGCGACGAAGGCAGGUUAUGCUAUUGACUAAAUAAUGUACAAAGGUUUAGAUUAAAUAUAAAUAUACAUAACAUUAAAAAGAUGAUUUAAGGGUUCGUAGCAGCUUUUUUUUUUCGUUGCAAAUAACGUUCUCGCGCAGAUUGUACUUGAGUUUCUGUAGUAUUGCGACUUGCGUGUAUUUUUAACGCAGCUUCUCUUGAUUUUUGAAAUUCCUUUUCUUUCUGGAGACGUUGUCGAUUUUCAAAUUCUUUUCGUUGUUUGUCAAUUUCCUCUAGUGAGUAUGUCCCAUGGCGUUUAUCUGGGCGAUCUUGAUGAUACCUAGUCGAUGGAGAAAGUGACCGUUUAUAGCUUGACUUAUGAUUCCGUUUCUUAUCAUCCCUCAUUGAAUUGUUAGCAGAUGAUUUUCGAAUAUUCAGUCCAGCAGUCAAGAUUUGACGUUGAUCUACUAUCUCAUUAUUAUCAUUCAAUUCCAAUUUCAGUCCUUUCUUUUUAGCCUCUAGGAUUAAAUUAUCACUACCAAGAGUAUCUUGUCCUUUCAUAGCAUCUCCUAUUUCAGCCCCGGUUUUCUUUGAAUUUUGAACUCCUUCCACAGCUGCCUGGUGAAUCUUUUCUUGACGGUCUAACAUGGAAGCAUAAAAAUCUUUCAUUCCAGUAGUCGUAUCAGUAAUUGAUUUCUCAUCCUCUUCUUUACGAUCUUCUAUUGCUUUUUGUACUUCUUCACGAUGCUUCUUGUAACUACUGGUUACAAAUUUUUCAGUUGCAUCAUCACCUUCGAGCUCAUUUUUUUUUAAGAGAGCUCUUUCGCGAGCCAAAAGUAAAUCUCUUUUCCUUUUCUUUGCAGAUUCUAUUAGAUUUUCCAUAUACUUCGGUCGACGAUCCUUAGAUUCGAGUCGCUUUAACUCCAUUUGCUCCCUCUCUGCACUUUUCAUACUGUCAUAAAAUUCGUCAAAGCCAUAAACUAAGUCAGUUAGUCAUAGAAUUCAUUUGUAAUUUCUCUUACUUGAAGCAUCGUAAUUGUCAUCUUUACUUGCAUCGCUAGCAGCAGUUAUUUGUGAACUGAAGCUAUUGGGAAUAGGUGCAUGUUCUUGUUCCGAGGAUGAAGAAUCGUCUUCUGUAAAGGUUAUACGAUUUGAGGAUUCAUUGGGCUUCUUUUUUUUCAUAACAUUUAGCCCAUAUCGGAAACCUGUUCCUGACAUUUUAUAAGAAGACCAGUUAGAACUAAAAAGAACUUAAAUAUUAAGUUUCAGUUUUUCAAAGAUUAAAACAAAUUAUAAUUGCGG
This is a non-coding RNA of Schizosaccharomyces pombe (fission yeast), 1298 nucleotides long. Lineage: Eukaryota; Fungi; Ascomycota; Schizosaccharomycetes; Schizosaccharomycetales; Schizosaccharomycetaceae. The record is from the annotation of a GenBank genome assembly.